This 440-nucleotide ribosomal RNA is filed under the name uncultured bacterium. Its description in RNAcentral is "partial 16S ribosomal RNA". It matches the Rfam family "Bacterial small subunit ribosomal RNA", at positions 338 to 795 of the family's 1533-position model. The record is from RNAcentral.
CCUACGGGUGGCAGCAGUCGAGAAUCAUUCACAAUGGGGGAAACCCUGAUGGUGCGACGCCGCGUGUGGGAAGACGGUCCUCUGGAUUGUAAACCACUGUCCCCAGGGACGAAGAUGACGGUACCUGGGGAGGAAGCUCUGGCUAACUACGUGCCAGCAGCCGCGGUAAUACGUAGGGAGCGAGCGUUGUCCGGAAUUAAUGGGUGAAAAGGGAGCGUAGGCGGGACUGCAAGUUGGGUGUCAAAUCUACCGGCUCAACCGGUAGCCGCACUCAAAACUGCAGUUCUUGAGUGAAGUAGAGGAAGGCGGAAUUCCUAGUGUAGCGGUGAAAUGCGUAGAUAUUAGGAGGAACACCAGUGGCGAAGGCGGCCUGCUGGGCUUUUACUGACGCUGAGGCUCGAAAGUGUGGGGAGCAAACAGGAUUAGAUACCCUAGUAGUC